RNAcentral lists this small RNA (1778 nucleotides) under Pan troglodytes (chimpanzee). RNAcentral describes it as "retained intron". Lineage: Eukaryota; Metazoa; Chordata; Mammalia; Primates; Hominidae. The record is from RNAcentral.
ACUUUAACUUCCUGGAGCUCUAAUUUCUCCUUCUCAGAUCAGCAUCCCCAGAACACACCUGUAUUAAGUCAAAGACCUUGGACCCAAUGGUCAUCUUCUUCACCAGUGGGACCACAGGCUUCCCCAAGAUGGCAAAACACUCCCAUGGGUUGGCCUUACAACCCUCCUUCCCAGGAAGUAGGAAAUUACGGAGCCUGAAGACAUCUGAUGUCUCCUGGUGCCUGUCGGACUCAGGAUGGAUUGUGGCUACCAUUUGGACCCUGCUAGAACCAUGGACAGCGGGUUGUACAGUCUUUAUCCACCAUCUGCCACAGUUUGACACCAAGGUCAUCAUACAGACAUUGUUGAAAUACCCCAUCAACCACUUUUGGGGGGUAUCAUCUAUAUAUCGAAUGAUUCUGCAUCAGGAUUUCACCAGCAUCAGGUUCCCUGCCCUGGAGCACUGCUGUACUGGCAGGGAGGUCGUGUUGCCCAAGGAUCAGGAGGAGUGGAAAAGACGGAUGGGCCUUCUGCUCUACGAGAACUAUGGGCAGUCAGAAACGGGACUAAUUUGUGCCACCUACUGGGGAAUGAAGAUCAAGCCGGGUUUCAUGGGGAAGGCCACUCCACCCUACGACGUCCAGGUCUGGUCCUAAGGGCAUUGGCAGGGAGCAGUUAGGGCUCAGCGGGGGUUGGACAAUUUGACACCAGGUGACAACACCAGCCGCACUUCCCUGCUCCAGUCAUCCUUCCUCCUCUCUUAUCAUUUAUCCCUUAGUUUCAUAUGGAGGCCUCAGUUGAAAACUGCAUUAUUGUGAGCAUGAACACCACUGACCCUGGCAGCCAGGGCAUCACACACAGUAGGUAGGAAAGAAUACCUAGAGGCUGCACUGGGAGCCCUCUCUAGCAAGUGGUGCUUUUCAUUUUUUUUGAUCAGUGUUUUCCAACUUGAAGACACAUUGGUGACAUCUACUAACUCAUGAAACAUAGACCCUUGGCUUGAGUUUCACAUUUGCGUAUUUUAAAGGCUUUUGACAGUUUUAUUCCAUUUUCUGAUGUUUCCUCUGUUAUUUCAUCCACACUGGUGUCCCAUGCAUAAACCAGACAGUGCUUGGGUGGGGCAGAAGGGCUGCGGCCUCCUGCAGUGUAUGAUUCACAGGCCUCUUGCUACAGGUCAUUGAUGACAAGGGCAGCAUCCUGCCACCUAACACAGAAGGAAACAUUGGCAUCAGAAUCAAACCUGUCAGGCCUGUAAGCCUCUUCAUGUGCUAUGAGGGUGACCCAGAGAAGACAGCUGAAGUGGAAUGUGGGGACUUCUACAACACUGGGGACAGAGGUAUCGCAUCGGGCCUGCAGAGGUUGAAAGCGCUUUGGUGGAGCACCCAGCGGUGGCAGAGUCAGCCGUGGUGGGCAGCCCAGACCCGAUUCAAAGGGAGUUCCUGUCCCAUGACAAGGAUCAGCUGACCAAGGAACUGCAGCAGCAUGUCAAGUCAGUGACAGCCCCAUACAAGUACCCAAGGAAGCGGAAAAAGGAGACUGGUCAGAUGUAAUUGGCAGUGAACUCAGAACCCACUGCACACCUAAGGCAAAUCCCUGGUCACUUUAGUCUCCCCAGUAUGGUGAGGACGAGGGUGGGGCAUUGAGAGUGUUGAUUUGGGAAAGUAUCAGGAGUGCCACGAUUCCAAUGUUUUCCUUCUUUUAAAUUAAAUUCAGUUGCUCUGCUUCCUCCAAGUCCUCUGUAUCUUUAGAAUUUCCCAGGUGAGCACUCAUAACGCAAGUAAUAAAAUACUGAUAUCAAC